CUGGGACUAAACCUUAAUAGAUCUAUGGUGGACUAAACUAAUUGGCAGAAGAAGCAGCUGCAGGGGGCAGGGCUGGAGCACAGGUUGGCAUCGACUCUAACCCUUGCUCUAACCCCGCCCUCGGUGUCUCGGGGGCGGGCACAGCUCAGAGCGCGCCGCACCCUUCUCCCGCGGAGCCCCAAGCGCGCGACUGGAACAGGUAACCGCCGCUCACUUCCGGAAGCACCGACCGUGUGUCUGAGGUGAUCCCGCUCUGGAGUGUACCCUCUUCGGUUACAGGCCCAUGGAGAGUCCGUGACAGUCUCCGGCGGCUCGGACCCACUGUGCGUGAAGGAGGAACCCCGCUGUGAGUGAAGCGCGCCCGGAGGGAGCUCGGGUUGUCCCCUCGGCUCUGGUUCCAAGAUUCUCUCCACAUCCUGCUCGCCCCUCCGCAGAUAUGGGCUGUCAGUGCACCCUCCAGCAGACCGGGGCCAUCUGAGAACUGGGACCCUCUUCCUCUUCUCCUCAUAAUCCUCUUCGUCCUCAUCCUCAUCUCCCUGCACCUGCCAAAACAUGGACAUCGACAAAGAUGACGUGCCUGGGUGCUACUUGAACCGCAGCGUCAAGUUCUUCUACACGGAGAGCGGGAAGAACAUCAGUGACCACUGGAGGAAGCGGGACUACGUGGUGGUUACCCUGGGCUUGACCGUGUGCUUCAUCGUCAUCUUCUCCAACCUGCUCGUCAUCCUUGCCAUCCUCAAGAACCGGCGCUUCCACUUCCCCAUCUACUACCUGCUGGGCAACCUGGCACUGUCCGACCUCUUCUCAGGGGUGUCCUACCUCCACCUGAUGUUCCACACUGGACCCUGGACCAUAAAGCUGACCAAGUAUCAGUGGUUUGUACGCCAGGGCCUGAUAGACACCAGCCUGACGGCCUCCGUGCUCAACCUUCUGGCCGUGGCUGUGGAGAGACACCAGACCAUCUUCAGCAUGCAGCUUCACAGUGAGAUGAGCAGCCGGCGCGUGCUCAUCAUCAUCGUAAUCAUCUGGGUGCUGGCCAUCCUCAUGGGACUGGUGCCCACCAUGGGCUGGCACUGCCUGUGCGACCUGCCCGCCUGCUCCACCAUGGCCCCGCUCUACAGCCGCAGCUACCUGGUCUUCUGGGCUGUCCUCAACCUGCUCACCUUCUCCAUCAUGCUGGCCGUCUACACGCGCAUCUUCCUCUAUGUGCGCCACAAGAGCCGCCAGAUGUCCCAGCACACGUCCCACCUGCGCCACCGCGAGACCGUCCUCAACCUCAUGAAGACCGUGUCCAUGAUCCUGGGCUGCUUUGUGCUGUGUUGGACUCCGGGGCUGGUGCUCCUCCUGCUGGACGGUCUGGGGUGUGACCGCUGUAACGUGCUGCGCUAUGAGAAGUACUGCCUGGUGCUGGCCGAGUGUAACUCCUUUGUGAACCCCAUCAUCUACUCGUUCAGGGACGCAGACAUGCGCCGCACCUUCAGGGAGCUGCUGUGCUGCCUGUGGCGGCGUAAGGCCGACCCCACCCUCUCCGGAGUCCACUUCAACACGCAGGAGCACGAGGUACUGUCCGAGAGCAACGGAGACCCAACUAACUACACGCUCACCUCUAACUCCGCCCAAUCAUGAUGGCGAGGACCAUCACUGACUCUGCCCACUGAGGUGGGGCUGACCUACUGACUCCACUCACUUUGAGGACGGGGGCGACAUACUGACUCCGCCCACUCAUGGGAUGGGGCAGACCUACUGAUGCUGCCCACUCAUGAGGACUUAUCUACUGACUCCGCCCACUCCCAAUGUUGGACUUACCUACUGAUCCCUCCCACUCCCAAGGUCACACUGACCUACUGGCUCCUCCCUCCAAUAUUAGGGUGGGGCCCACUCACUGUCUCCUCCCACUGACAGUACUUGUCAAUAUUCACCACUGAACUGCUUAAAGACUGUGUGCUUCUGAUGUAGCACUGCUCUGGUGACGUCCUGUACACCUGUCUGUGGCUCUGCUGUGGAGGAGACUGUGUGACCGCUGAAGACUUUAAACAUGGCCAAGUGAGAGGGUCUGAUCUUCUCCACACCAGACCCUGCUCCUCCUCUCUCUCUCUGGGCACCUCCUGAGCCCUCUUUUCCUCACAUGGACCUCUGUAUGCUGCACCUGAUGCCCUCACCUCUCAAGAACCAUAAGUGGGCGAGUGACGAGGAAGAGCGCCACAACGGGACCCCCCUCACCGAGCCCUCCGAGCAGGACAGAGCGGAGCCGUCCCGCACCUGGAGCUAACCAUGCCACACCCAAUCUCCCACCCUACCACACACACGCAGGCGCGCACACACACACACAGGCACACACACACACAGGCACAGGCACACACAGGCACACACACACACACACCGCUGAGAAAUGGACCUCUCUACUGUAUAGAAAUGUAGCUGCAAUGCCAAUCCCCAGUUAUAUUAGUUUUAUUUUAAUUUAAUAUAUUUUUUAACUCUUGAUGAAUUUUGGAGCCAUGACUUUGCCUUUUGAAACGACUCAGUUGUCAGAUUUUUACUGUGUUUUAUUUAUGUUUUAACAUGUUUUUGAACUGUCUACGCUGAUGAGAUUAAAGCAUAGCAUGAACACAA
Molecule: RNA transcript, 2610 nt
Organism: Boleophthalmus pectinirostris (great blue-spotted mudskipper)
Lineage: Eukaryota; Metazoa; Chordata; Actinopteri; Gobiiformes; Gobiidae
Gene: lpar2b
Gene name: lysophosphatidic acid receptor 2b
Exons: 5
Source: RefSeq, a predicted model, not a curated record